AUGCGGGCUGGCAGCCCGCCGCCCUCUGUCGUGCGCGAGGAGGACCAGGAGGAGGAGGCAGCCUACCAAGCGGUACUGGCGGCUGCCAUGCAGAACAAUGUCGACGAGGACAGGCGCAAGGCGGCGGCGGAGGAGGCGGCGUACCAGAUGUGGCUGGCGAAGGCCAUCACCCUAUCCGCGGCCGGCGACUGCGUCGUCCCGCCAUCCCAGCCGUCCCCUGUCAAGCUUGAGCCGGCGCCGUCCACUGUGCCGACGACCCAGCGGUUCAUUCGGGACGAAGUGGUGCGCGAGUGGGUUAACGUGCCACCCAUCCGGCUCGAGGCGACACCCACGCAGGAGAAGCUCUACCUUGAGCAGUGGCGGACGCGUUGGCUGGCGGAGGAGCGCCGCAAGGGCGAGCGCGUGGAGCAGUGGGAGCACGACGCAGGGGAGGAGCGCCGCGAGACGGAGAAGGAGGAGCGUCGUGCCCGCGCUGCCCAGCCCGCAGUGGUCACGCCGGCACCGGACGUCGCCACAUCCUAG
RNAcentral lists this ribosomal RNA (522 nucleotides) under Triticum aestivum (bread wheat). RNAcentral describes it as "partial small subunit ribosomal RNA". The record is from RNAcentral. Lineage: Eukaryota; Viridiplantae; Streptophyta; Magnoliopsida; Poales; Poaceae.